This 492-nucleotide ribosomal RNA is filed under the name uncultured bacterium. Its description in RNAcentral is "partial 16S ribosomal RNA". It matches the Rfam family "Bacterial small subunit ribosomal RNA", at positions 29 to 507 of the family's 1533-position model. The record is from RNAcentral.
AGUGAACGCUGGCGGUAGGCCUAACACAUGCAAGUCGAACGGCAGCACAGUAAGAGCUUGCGCUUUCGGGUGGCGAGUGGCGGACGGGUGAGGAAUACAUCGGAAUCUACUUUUUCGUGGGGGCUAACGUAGGGAAACUUACGCUAAUACCGCAUACGACCUACGGGUGAAAGCAUGGGAUCUUCGGACCUUGCGCGAUUGAAUGAGCCGAUGUCGGAUUAGCUAGUUGGCGGGGUAAAGGCCCACCAAGGCGACGAUCCGUAGCUGGUCUGAGAGGAUGAUCAGCCACACUGGAACUGAGACACGGUCCAGACUCCUACGGGAGGCAGCAGUGGGGAAUAUUGGACAAUGGGCGCAAGCCUGAUCCAGCCAUGCCGCGUGGGUGAAGAAGGCCUUCGGGUUGUAAAGCCCUUUUGUUGGGAAAGAAAAGCAGCAGGUUAAUACCCCGCUGUUCUGACGGUACCCAAAGAAUAAGCACCGGCUAACUUCGUG